RNAcentral lists this long non-coding RNA (1443 nucleotides) under Cairina moschata (Muscovy duck). Its description in RNAcentral is "domestica (muscovy Duck (domestic type)) lncRNA (ENSCMMG00000006539.1)". Lineage: Eukaryota; Metazoa; Chordata; Aves; Anseriformes; Anatidae. The record is from RNAcentral.
CUGAGGUACCUCCUGGUUUCCUGGCAUAAAUAACUACUGUAAUGUUUCUCAAUAGUUUCCAAACAAUUUUCUUCCUGUUUAGUUAACAACCUACAUCCCACCAGGUGGCUGGAGAUUGCGUUCAUUUUUGGUGGUGGACACAAUCAGUUCUCAUCACCUUGAGAGGGAACCAAAUGGAAGUCACGAGAAGGAGCCAAAUGAAAGUUCUACAAGGCUGGGGGAGAGGAAGGGAGAACAGGAGCUUGCACUUGCCACGUAGCCCAGGGGCUCAUUUUAACCUGGGCAGUUUGGAGCACUGCCACAACCAGCUGUCCUCACAGCUGGAGACAGCUCUCCCUUCUCACAGUGGCACCAGAAGAACAAGUAUGAGCUCUGCUCUUGGUUCAAUACGAGCUCCAGUCCACCUUCUGCAUUGGUUCAGAUUAGAUAAUCUCAGCAUGCAAGAGCAGACUGGAUGGCCCCCAUGCUGCCUCUGCUACAGAGACACUGGCUGUUGCAGAUGACUUAGAUCGUCCACGGUGCCUCAGUUAAAUCCAGCAAGGAUUGUGAGUCAGAGCCUCUGUAUUCAUAACAAAUGAGCUCAAACAAAGCGAAACACUGCUUCUCAAAUUAAGCCUAUGCACGCAAGGUGCAAACCAGAGCUGAGCAGGGGCUCAUGGCUUCCAAGAACAAGCCAAGCUCAGCAGCCGUGGCAGGAAGUCUGUGAGAGCCACACCGCAGCAGAUCCACUGCCAGGAGAAACCAAGCUGUGGAACCAUUGUCCAGUGUCAUCUAAUCCAUGGAAGGACCUGGAGGAUCAUCCUGCCCUGACACUGAGACAUGCAAAUGAACUGGAGCUCUUCUGGGAAUGUCUGGCAGGCUCUGCAAUGAAGCAGGUUCCUGGCUCUGGUGGGCUAGUUCUGGAGCCUCGUGGUACUCAGUUGGCUGCACAAUGCACAGACAUUACUGCAACCAAAACAGCAUCAGUGCUCUUUCCCAGUAGUGGUUUUGUUUUUUGUUUUUCAUUUUUUCCAAAGUUGGAAAUGAAGAAAAAUGUUUCACAAAGGAGCAGAUAUUCCUCAGUCUUAACCUUUAGCAGUUAUUUUCAUUUGUAUACAGUAAAUAAUUAAAAAAAAAAAAUGGAUUUGGCAGCAUUUCACUUAUUUUGGAAAAUUACUUUAUUCAUAUUAGGAAAAUUCUUGGGGGAAAAUAUUCAAUGUUGGCUUAAAGACUAAAUGUGGAAAGGAGUGUUUCCCCAAAAAAUGAUUUUAAAAAUCACCUGAAGGUCUCUUUUCAAAGUCAGAUUUAAAUAGAAAUUCCCUAGGCUCAAAUCCCCCAGCUCAGCCAUGAUUUCUUGUAAUGCAAAAGUUCUGGGUGGCUCCAAACAAGCAACAUGGAAGCUGGAGUCCUAUUGACCCCUGCUUUCAAUAGCUCCCACAUCAAAGCCAGAGCUGCAGAUCCUAG